This 253-nucleotide ribosomal RNA is filed under the name uncultured bacterium. RNAcentral's name for it is "partial 16S ribosomal RNA". It matches the Rfam family "Bacterial small subunit ribosomal RNA", at positions 524 to 776 of the family's 1533-position model. The record is from RNAcentral.
UACAGAGGGUGCGAGCGUUAAUCGGAAUUACUGGGCGUAAAGGGCGCGUAGGCGGUCUAUCAAGUGAGAUGUGAAAUCCCCGGGCUUAACCUGGGAACUGCAUCUUAAACUGAUAGGCUGGAGUGCUGUAGAGGAUAGUGGAAUUUCCGGUGUAGCGGUGAAAUGCGUAGAGAUCGGAAGGAACAUCAGUGGCGAAGGCGACUGUCUGGACAGAUACUGACGCUGAGGCGCGAAAGCGUGGGGAGCAAACAGG